AGCACCUCUCUGUCAUUACCCUGAAUCUCUGUAGGUCGAAAGGCGGGAAUCCACUUGCCGACGCAUGUUAAGCCCCAGACUUCUGUGUGUCUCCACGAGGAGAAUGUCAGGCUGCCCCAGAAAGUGUUCUGCUUGUUGUAAAAGACGGAAUUUGCUGUUGAAGUCACAGUUUGCAAUCUUGAUGUUCACGCCAGCCUCUGAGGGUUUGUCUGCCUUGAAGGACAAUGCGCUUCUGAUAGUAGCUCCCACUAUUAGACAGUACUGUUGGAA
RNAcentral lists this long non-coding RNA (270 nucleotides) under Rattus norvegicus (Norway rat). RNAcentral describes it as "long non-coding RNA NONRATT003738". Lineage: Eukaryota; Metazoa; Chordata; Mammalia; Rodentia; Muridae. The record is from RNAcentral.